This 459-nucleotide ribosomal RNA is filed under the name Acinetobacter baumannii. RNAcentral describes it as "bacterial SSU rRNA". It matches the Rfam family "Bacterial small subunit ribosomal RNA", at positions 338 to 795 of the family's 1533-position model. The record is from RNAcentral. Lineage: Bacteria; Pseudomonadati; Pseudomonadota; Gammaproteobacteria; Moraxellales; Moraxellaceae.
CCUACGGGUGGCAGCAGUGAGGAAUAUUGGUCAAUGGGCGAGAGCCUGAACCAGCCAAGUAGCGUGAAGGACGACGGCCCUACGGGUUGUAAACUUCUUUUAUAAGGGAAUAAAGUUCGCCACGUGUGGUGUUUUGUAUGUACCUUAUGAAUAAGCAUCGGCUAAUUCCGUGCCAGCAGCCGCGGUAAUACGGAAGAUGCGAGCGUUAUCCGGAUUUAUUGGGUUUAAAGGGAGCGUAGGCGGGCUUUUAAGUCAGCGGUCAAAUGCCACGGCUCAACCGUGGCCAGCCGUUGAAACUGCAAGCCUUGAGUCUGCACAGGGCACAUGGAAUUCGUGGUGUAGCGGUGAAAUGCUUAGAUAUCACGAAGAACUCCGAUCGCGAAGGCAUUGUGCCGGGGCAUAACUGACGCUGAGGCUCGAAAGUGCGGGUAUCAAACAGGAUUAGAUACCCGAGUAGUC